This 1564-nucleotide ribosomal RNA is filed under the name Triticum aestivum (bread wheat). Its description in RNAcentral is "partial small subunit ribosomal RNA". Lineage: Eukaryota; Viridiplantae; Streptophyta; Magnoliopsida; Poales; Poaceae. The record is from RNAcentral.
GCUGUUACAGGUUGAGGGAACUUGAUAAGCUCAAGUGACAUGUGGAAUUUGGUUUGCCAACUAGAAGGCGCUCGGCAUCGAGACGGUCCAGCAGUCCGUACACGGUGUGAUGAUAAAACUUCCAUGAAUGCAUCAGCUACAACUACUUGGAUGCGAUCGUUGUUGUGAUAAAGCUGCAGUGGUGGUGUAGGUUAUUCUUUGAGGUCUCCUAAUCUUCUACAACCUCGGCAGUGGUGGCUGCCUCUUCUUGGUUCAGGUUGAGGGAACUUGGUAAGCUCAAGGGACACGUGGAAGUUGGUUUGUCAACUAGAAGGCGCUCGACAUCGAGACCGUCCAGCAGUCUGUACACGGUGGGAUGAUAUGGGCUUACAUGACUGCCUCCUCAGCUACAACUACUUGGGUUUAGUCAUUUGCUAUGUGUUAAUGAUGAUGGUGAUUCUUGCAAAUGAUGUGCAAGGCAAAUUUCCAGAGUUGGAUGAAGAACUGUCAUACUGGAAGUUACUUGGUUGCUUCUAGUUGCUAUUGUCUAGUAGAUGAUAACUGAUUUACUAUGAUUUCUUAAGCUAUCUCUAGUGUUGUGCAUAAGUGUUAAGAGUGUAAAGUUUCACCAUGUUUUCCCAGGUAAUUUAGCUUAUUCUCUGAGGUAGCCUAAUCUUCUACAACCUCGGCAGUGGUGGCCACCUCUUCUUGGUUCAGGAAAUUUAGGUUAUUCUUUGAGGUCUAAUCUUCUACAACCUCGGCAGUGGUGGCUGCCUCUUCUUGGUUCAGGUUGGCCCUGCCAACGCACGGGCGAGCCAAAAAAUUGGCAUUGCUUUUCUGCGCCUGCGUCUUGCCGUCGCGUUGGCAAGAAAUUGAACCGGAGACCCGAGGGCAGCAUUGACAACGCAUGGGCUUUGAUCCAAACACCGCUGGGGCAGUUGGUCAACGCCAAUUAUUUGGCUUGGCAGGCUGGGGCUUCGAACCAAACUGGCUCAUAGUGACUAUUCAUCAUGGUUAUACUACUGUUGGAGGUGUGAUUCUACGGAUAUGCUUCUUGGCAAUGAGAUUAUAGCUACGGGGAGAAAAAAAAAGGUGGAAGUCGCAGGCUAAGGGAAGGGAAAGGUGAUACUCCACAUGGGAUCGAUACCAGGCUGAUGGGCUCGAUCUCAGCUGGGCAGUCGAGGAAAAACAGGGGAAGGAAGGAGGUGAAAUUAAGGCCCAAGUUUUGUUUGCCACAAGACUUGUUCCUUCAAGGGGCCAGGCCAUAUUUAUCUUGCUGCCGCGGACACAUGUUUUUUUUUAUGGUUGGUUUAUGACGAUUCACAACAAAAGUUGGCAUGCAGGCAGGUUGUAUGAUUAAGUUUGUGUGGUCUGCACUUUGGGUUGUUGUUGAUGUGUUUGUGAAACAUAGAUAUAUAUGCAAUCAAAGUGGGUGUAUGUCAAGUUUUCUUUGUUUGGUAUCGAACCCAAGGAGCGUAUACAUAUAUACUUUGAAGUUGUCGAUCGAAAUGGUUGUAUGUAUUGAACUCACUCAUCUACUGGUCCUUUCCUUGCUUAUUUAUAUUUGUGGAAUUUGCCGUGCCUC